This 77-nucleotide transfer RNA is filed under the name Clostridiales bacterium. RNAcentral's name for it is "tRNA-Arg". It matches the Rfam family "tRNA". From Rfam's summary of the family: Transfer RNA (tRNA) molecules are approximately 80 nucleotides in length. Their secondary structure includes four short double-helical elements and three loops (D, anti-codon, and T loops). The record is from RNAcentral. Lineage: Bacteria; Bacillati; Bacillota; Clostridia; Eubacteriales.
GUCCCCGUAGCUCAAUCGGAUGGAGCAAUGGCCUUCUAAGCCAUCGGAUAGGCGUUCAAAUCGCCUCGGGGACGCCA